GGAGCAACGCCGCGUUGAACGAUGAAGGCCUUCGGGUCGUAAAGUUCUGUUGUCAGGGAAGAACAAGUACCGGAGUAACUGCCGGUACCUUGACGGUACCUGACCAGAAAGCCACGGCUAACUACGUGCCAGCAGCCGCGGUAAUACGUAGGUGGCAAGCGUUGUCCGGAAUUAUUGGGCGUAAAGCGCGCGCAGGCGGUUCCUUAAGUCUGAUGUGAAAGCCCCCGGCUCAACCGGGGAGGGUCAUUGGAAACUGGGGAACUUGAGUGCAGAAGAGGAGAGCGGAAUUCCACGUGUAGCGGUGAAAUGCGUAGAGAUGUGGAGGAACACCAGUGGCGAAGGCGGCUCUCUGGUCUGUAACUGACGCUGAGGCGCGAAAGCGUGGGGAGCGAACAGGAUUAGAUACCCUGGUAGUCCACGCCGUAAACGAUGAGUGCUAAGUGUUAGAGGGUUUCCGCCCUUUAGUGCUGCAGCAAACGC
Molecule: ribosomal RNA, 480 nt
Filed under: Mesobacillus boroniphilus
Lineage: Bacteria; Bacillati; Bacillota; Bacilli; Caryophanales; Bacillaceae
Description: bacterial SSU rRNA
Rfam family: Bacterial small subunit ribosomal RNA
Source: RNAcentral